CCGCCGCCGCCACCGUCAGUCCGUCACCAUCGUCGCUUCCUCGUCGAAGCUUUCCCGUCCGUCCCGCAGUCUGUUUCUCCUUGCUAUUUCCGUUUUUAUCUUUCUCUCAGUUUGUUUCGCAUCAUUCCGAUCUGUAACUUACAGUCCUCUCUUGUUCAUACCGGCGGGGGCACGAACUAUUUUGUGCGGCGCCGCGAUGCAAAGAGGGGAUAGAUCGACGCGUCAAGAAAUCGUUUCAGUUGCCAUGACUCCAGUAGGCAAUAUGAUUGUUGCUUGACCACAGUUCACCCUCUCUAUUUCUUCUCUUUCUUUGUUUUAGUCUCGUUUUCGUUUUUAAGAUCAAAAUCGGUUUAUGCACGGUGCUAACCCCGGGCUUAUCGGAUUACACCUUGAAGAAGGAAGCCCCAAUGCCUGUGCUAGAUCUACCACGCCAUUCAGUGUUGCAGGCUAUGAUAAAUAUUGUGAUUGGUCUGUGUCAAAGCAAUGGAUACACAUAUUCAUAACAGCUCAUCUCUUAUGAACUUUCUUUUGAUUGACGGCAGUGUUUUGUUUGAUUGAUGGCAGUGAUUUGACAUUACCCGCGCUUCUGAUGUAACACGUGAAGCAAAGGGAAAAAUAAUGGUUGAAUUUCUUAAUAUGAGCCAUCCAGUAAUCAAUAAUAAUUCUAUUGUCUUAGUUGUUUGCUGCAUCGGUGUUAUUUUUUCUCAUGUUAUUGAUUGGCAUGCCUUAUUGAUUUGGCAGUGAUGAUACAACCUUUCAGCUUACAAACGCCAGUUCUGCUUCUGAGAAUUCAUGACAGAUAAAGCUGAUACGCAUCUGAGCCUUGAUCUCUCAAGUGUUUCCGCACAUUCAUACUCACUUUAGAAUAAUUCGUUUAUGCAUCAAUCUGAACAUCGAAUACCAUUGGCCACUGAUGAAAUCGCCCAAUGUUUGUAGGCUGCAAUCGGCUCCAAGUUCCUGCUUGUCAGGAAGAACCUACUUGGAGCUCUGCACUCAAAUGACAACAACGGGCAAUGCUGAGGUCCUAGGUGCUAUGUCUCAAUGUGUUUAGUUUAUUCUUAUAGUUUCAUUGACCAAACAAUGAUGCUGUGUUAUGUGCCGAGUUUAACUAUCCUCGCGCAAGUGCUUUCUGAUUUGCGUGGAGGCUGAAAAACUUGCAGAGUGUGUGUUGUCAUCAGCUUCGUCUCUUUUUUUACUGUGAGAUGGGAGUUAAAUAACAGCACGAUAUUGUCUACUCCUGUGUGUUUCAACCGUGGACCUAUUUUGCUUUGUUCCUUGCAAUUAACAUUUCAGCUUUUUGGAUUUGGAAGCCUAGGGAAUUCAGCUCAACAAAUAGCCGUGGUCUAUCCACCAAGUUAGUCAAAGCCCAAAAUACAUCUCCUCCGUGCAUAAUGUGUCCCUGAAAGCCCAAGGUGUACAUAACCCCUGCUAUAUUGCUUAUUCAUUCGAAGCUGCCCUGCUUUAUUAUUUAUUUGUUUGAAGCUGUAUCCCUGAUUGUAUUAUUUUCUUUUUUUUGUGGCAUAUUGGUUGAUUUAAGAUUGGAGCAGUGAUGAGCAUUUUUUGUGGACUAGAGUUUCUGAUACUACCUCUGUAGUAUUUGAUGACCACACCCUUGGCUGUCUGAGCUCUGAAUUCUCACUUCAACUUUUUUAUUGUUUACUUAGAUUGUUAUUUGCUUUCUGAUGUGAUAGUUGACCUGAGAUUUGAGUGAUGAUGAACUGUUGUGUUUUGGACUAGAGUUUUUCUGAUACUGCUACAUCGUGAUAGUAGUUGAAGAAAUCGAUUCAGUUGCCAUGGCUCCUGUAGGCUAUAUGAUUGUUGCUUGACCACAACUUCGUACCCCCCCUCUCUCUCUUGAUUUUUCCGUUUGAUCUUGCUUGCCGUUUGAGGACAUAAUAAAUAAUAUAUGUGUAUGCAUGGUGCUAACCCCGGGCUUGUUGGAUUACGUUCCCUUGAAGAAGGAAGCCCCAAUGCCUGUGCUAGAUCCAGCAUGCCAUUCAGUGUUGCAGGCUAUGAUAAUUCUUGUGAGUGGCCUGUGUCAAAGCAAUGGAUACAGAUGUUAGUAAAAUCGUCACUUUUUUUCCCUGUUGCGUUUGGUUGUUGGCAGUGAUUUGACAUUACCCGCGCUUCUGAUCUAACACGUGAAGCAAAGGGAAAAAUAAUGGUUGAAUUUCUUAAUAUGAGCCAUUCGUUAAUCAAAGCAUCACCUUUCUUCGAUUGUUUAUUCGGCAUCAUCUUCCUUAUUUAUCGAUCUUUAAGGCAGUGAUGAUACAACCAUUCAGCUUAAAACGCCAGUUCUGCUUCUGAGAAUUCAUGACAGAUAGAGCUGAUUAAAAAUCUGAGCCUUCUUCGCACAUUUUUAAUAAACAAUUCUAUUUUUUCUUAGACCAAAAUACAUCACGUUGGCCACUGAUGAAAUCGCCCAAUGUGUGGAGGCUGCAUUCGGCUCCAAGUUCCUGCUUGUCAGGAAGAACCUACUUGGAGCCCUGCACUCGAAUGACAACAAUGGGCAAUGCUGAGGUACUAGAUGCUAUGUCUAAGAGUGUUUUGUUAUUUCUUUUAGUUUCACUGAUCUGCCGUCCAAAUAAUGACAAAUAAUGAUUCUGUGUUAUGUGCCGAGUUUAAGUAUCCGUGCGCAACUGCGUUCUGAUUUGCGUGGAGGAUGAAAAACUCGGAGAGUGUGUGUUGUCAUCAGCUUCGUCUCUUUUUUACUGUGAGAUGGGAGUUAAAUAACAGCACAAUAUUGUCUAGUCCUUUGUGUUUCCAUUGUGGCCCUAUUCUGCUUUGUUCCUUGCAACAAACUAACAUUUCAGCCUUUUGGAAGCCUACGGAAUUCAGCUCAACAAGUAGCCCAGGUCUAUCCACCAAGUUAGCCAAAGCCCAAAUUACAUCUCUCCCGUGCAUAAUGUGUCCCUGAAAUCCCAAGGCUCAUUCGAAACUGCCCUGCUUUAUUCUUUAUUUCUUCGAAGCUGUAUCCCAGGUUAUAUUAUUGUCUUUUUUGGUAAAUUGGUUGAUUUGAGAUUGGAGCAGUGAUGAGCAUUUUUUUUCUGGACUAGAGUUUCUGAUACUGCCUGUAUUUGAUUAUCAAACCCUUGGCUGUCUGAGCUCUGAAUUCUCACUCAACCUUUUUAUUGUUCACUUAGAUUGUUAUUUGCUUUCUGCCGUGAAAGUUGACCCGAGAUUUGGGUGAUGACGAACUUUAGUGUUUUGGACUAGAGUUUGUCUUUCUGAUACUGCUACAUCGUGGUUGUAGUUGAAGACCAAACCCUUGGCUGUCUGAACUCAAAUCUUGGAUUCAGCUGUAACGUUGUUAUCUUUAGAGUUUAGAUUAAUUCUGUUUUUCUAAUUCUUUUAGUUAGAUGCGUCCAUUACCAAUUCUGGAGGAUUAUUUCGUUUCUUUAAGUAUAAUGGCUCGGACGCGACAUUCAAUUCUUGUGGUUAUAUCCUGAUUGGUGGCGUUUUUUGUGCCAAUCCGAUCCUGGAAAGGCCACAUAAAUUCAAUAACUCGUGAAUUCUAAUUUUAUUUCUUAUGUUUGUGGGAUCUAAAGGAUGUGAAACUUUGAAAGGGACAAUGCCUUAUCUAUUUGAUUGUGGUGUACCAUGACUAUUCUUUCAUAUUGAAUAGGAAGAUCUGAUAGAUCCCUCAGACUUGUUUUUUCUUUUCUUUUUCUGUUUCUGAAGUUUGAUCUGAUUUGAGGUGUGGAUGAUGAUAACACAAGUAAAAUACAAUUAUCCCUGUCUGAUUCCUUCAAAAGGGUGCUGAGAAUACUUUAAUCUGACACGUUUUGUUGUGUCUUUCAUCCGGUCUUUAUGUUAGUACAAAGUUCUUUUGUUGAAUAUUGGCCUUUGAUGACCUGAUGGUUGCAGAACAGUUCUGUUAUCCUAGUCCCAGUGAAGAUCUCAAGACCUACCGAUAGGAAGUGCCGUUUGACACUGUUACCAGCAGCUGCUUCUUUCAUCUGCAGGUGACCAUCCUUAGACCAUAACCUUUGUGGUUUGGUCUUGGGGUGUAGUUCCCAUCUGCUGAUGUUUGAUUCAGAUGUGGGGUGUGAUUUAAAUCGGGUCUCUGAGGGAUUGUAUGAAACUAUCGUUCAUGUCAUUGUAGCUUUGUGCGUUGUUUGCCAGUAUCAGGGCCUGAUGCCACGUCAAUGGUAGCUAUGAGCAUUAACCGGAGAUGCCACGUCAAUGCUUUAGAACAUGCUUCAAAUUGUCUUACAUCUAUUCUUGUUUUCUAUUUGUGGAUUGCAAAUGAUGAUAAAAUCAAGGCUUGUUUCUCUAUAUUCGCAGUUGCCACCUAAGAGCUUUAGCCCAAUCAGGCUUGAGAGCUAGUGUUGCUAAAUGCUUGGAUGUCUGUUGCAAUCAUGCAAAUUCAAUAUUUUCUCCUGUUGUAUUUGCAUACCAUUGUUCCACCAGUCUCUUCAAGUGUCGUCUCUUCUUUAAAUUACAGUUGGUUUUCUGAAUUGUGCUUACAAUUGUUCCACUUAGUCUCUAAAUUCUGGCGGGCUAAAGCUCUUAGGCAGCUCUGCAAUUCUGGCUGCUCCUUCUGUUUGCUAAAUUGUGCCUAAGAGCCUCCUGACUGGCUGUCUGCAGUUCUGCUGCCCCUUUUGUUUCCAUUUUUUUUCGACUGUCAAUCAUCAUUUAGAAGUUACUAAAUUCUUGCAGACAGCCAGUCCAGUUAUGUUCUACGAUAUUUGAAGAUUAUGCAAAGAGUGGAACUGCUGCACAAGUAGAGCUUUAACAUUAAAGGAAGUGGACUCAGGCUUCUAAGGGGACGAAAAGUGCUAACUAGGAAACUAAGGGAUGGGUUUGUUAGGGUUGAGUAUUCUGUUUCUAGAAAUAGCCUGAGCACUCGACAUUCCAGAUCACCCUUCUAGUAAACAGAUUAAAGCGCCUGCCUGAACUGGGGUUUUCUUUGUAAGGUAUGUAAAUGUUGUGAUUGAUUAACAUUGUGGUUGUAUGUUGUGGUUGUAAACGUUGCAGUUGUAUAUAUUGUAUAUAGCCGGUAUAUGCAACUGGACCCAUUUUUGACA
Long non-coding RNA from Panicum virgatum (switchgrass), 5030 nucleotides. RefSeq lists it as uncharacterized. Lineage: Eukaryota; Viridiplantae; Streptophyta; Magnoliopsida; Poales; Poaceae. The transcript is spliced from 2 exons. The record is from RefSeq and is a predicted model, not a curated record.